RNAcentral lists this ribosomal RNA (253 nucleotides) under uncultured bacterium. RNAcentral describes it as "partial 16S ribosomal RNA". It matches the Rfam family "Bacterial small subunit ribosomal RNA", at positions 524 to 776 of the family's 1533-position model. The record is from RNAcentral.
GACGAACCGUGCGAACGUUGUUCGGAAUCACUGGGCUUAAAGGGCGCGUAGGCGGGUGACCAAGUCCGGGGUGAAAUCCUCCAGCUUAACUGGAGAAGUGCCUCGGAUACUGGUUGUCUUGAGGAGGGUAGGGGCAUCUGGAACUAGCGGUGGAGCGGUGAAAUGCGUUGAUAUCGCUAGGAACUCCGGUGGCGAAGGCGAGGUGCUGGACCCUUUCUGACGCUGAGGCGCGAAAGCCAGGGGAGCGAACGGG